Molecule: ribosomal RNA, 429 nt
Filed under: Lactobacillus sp.
Lineage: Bacteria; Bacillati; Bacillota; Bacilli; Lactobacillales; Lactobacillaceae
Description: bacterial SSU rRNA
Rfam family: Bacterial small subunit ribosomal RNA
Source: RNAcentral
UAAGAUGAGAGUUUGAUCCUGGCUCAGGACGAACGCUGGCGGCGUGCCUAAUACAUGCAAGUCGAACGCGUCUUGGUCAAUGAUUUUAGGUGCUUGCACUUGGAUGAUUUGACAUUGAGACGAGUGGCGAACUGGUGAGUAACACGUGGGUAACCUGCCCUUGAAGUAGAGGAUAACACUUGGAAACAGGUGCUAAUACUGCAUAACAACGAAAACCGCCUGGUUUUCGUUUGAAAGAUGGCUUCGGCUAUCGCUUUAGGAUGGACCCGCGGCGUAUUAGCUAGUUGGUGAGGUAACGGCUCACCAAGGCAAUGAUACGUAGCCGACCUGAGAGGGUAAUCGGCCACAUUGGGACUGAGACACGGCCCAAACUCCUACGGGAGGCAGCAGUAGGGAAUCUUCCACAAUGGACGAAAGUCUGAUGGAGCA